This 368-nucleotide ribosomal RNA is filed under the name uncultured organism. RNAcentral describes it as "bacterial SSU rRNA". It matches the Rfam family "Bacterial small subunit ribosomal RNA", at positions 526 to 896 of the family's 1533-position model. The record is from RNAcentral.
CGGAGGAUCCAAGCGUUAUCCGGAUUUAUUGGGUUUAAAGGGUGCGUAGGUGGCCUGUUAAGUCAGGGGUGAAAGACGGUAGCUUAACUAUCGCAGUGCCCUUGAUACUGAUGGGCUUGAAUGAACUAGAGGUAGGCGGAAUGUGACAAGUAGCGGUGAAAUGCAUAGAUAUGUCACAGAACACCAAUUGCGAAGGCAGCUUACUAUGGUUUUAUUGACACUGAGGCACGAAAGCGUGGGGAUCAAACAGGAUUAGAUACCCUGGUAGUCCACGCCCUAAACGAUGAAUACUCGAUGUUGGCGAUAUACGGUCAGCGUCUAAGCGAAAGCGUUAAGUAUUCCACCUGGGGAGUACGCCCGCAAGGGUG